AGUCAGCUGGUAGCAGUUUAAAAGAUUAAAGAGAGAAGAAGACGCGUAGUAUUGAAGACUUGGUUAACCCACUGUGUUCAGCAGGACUAUAUUCAUGGAAUGACCUGGGAGUUUUCAGAAAGAUUACAUCCAACUGUUUCUCAGAG
RNAcentral lists this long non-coding RNA (146 nucleotides) under Sus scrofa (pig). Its description in RNAcentral is "lncRNA (ENSSSCG00045018710.1)". The record is from RNAcentral. Lineage: Eukaryota; Metazoa; Chordata; Mammalia; Artiodactyla; Suidae.